AAUUUUCAAAGCGUGGAAACGAGACUUUCAACUUGAUUUGUUCAUUUUUACCUUCGUGGCUAACUUGGAUUCAGUAAAAGAGGAUAAAUUUACAAUGCUCAAAGAAACGUUGGCAAUCAUCAUUACAAACAUCAAUUAUUUUCUAUUGACGAUCCGUGUGGUGCAGUGCGGUGUUUGAUAUUAAAUGAAGAUAUGAUCUUCCCACUUUGCUGGACAAUGAAAGGAAUGUCAUAUAAAAGAAUUCUUUCAUAUGACAUGAAAGGAAUGUCAGAGUUACGAUUUACAUUUACUAAUUUCAGUGUCGUUUAUAGCUUUAAUGUUUUGCUCCACCAUCGUUAAAUCAUCUCACUAAUAAUUUAAGUUUAUUAUUAUUAUACAUGGUGUAUCAUACA
Xenia sp. Carnegie-2017 is the source of this 392-nucleotide long non-coding RNA. RefSeq lists it as uncharacterized. The record is from RefSeq and is a predicted model, not a curated record. NCBI's taxonomy places the organism in Eukaryota, Metazoa, Cnidaria, Anthozoa, Malacalcyonacea, Xeniidae. The transcript has 2 exons.